This 1138-nucleotide ribosomal RNA is filed under the name Salmonella enterica subsp. enterica serovar Typhimurium. RNAcentral describes it as "bacterial LSU rRNA". It matches the Rfam family "Bacterial large subunit ribosomal RNA", at positions 976 to 2012 of the family's 2925-position model. Lineage: Bacteria; Pseudomonadati; Pseudomonadota; Gammaproteobacteria; Enterobacterales; Enterobacteriaceae. The record is from RNAcentral.
CACGGGAGACACACGGCGGGUGCUAACGUCCGUCGUGAAGAGGGAAACAACCCAGACCGCCAGCUAAGGUCCCAAAGUCAUGGUUAAGUGGGAAACGAUGUGGGAAGGCCCAGACAGCCAGGAUGUUGGCUUAGAAGCAGCCAUCAUUUAAAGAAAGCGUAAUAGCUCACUGGUCGAGUCGGCCUGCGCGGAAGAUGUAACGGGGCUAAACCAUGCACCGAAGCUGCGGCAGCGAACGUAUCACCCAAGACAACUUUACGGAGUUGACGAUUGACGGAGCGAAGCGACGUCAAAGCGUUCAUUAAAGUCGAGUUGGCUUAGGGAUACGUUCGUUGGGUAGGGGAGCGUUCUGUAAGCCUGUGAAGGUGUGUCGUGAGGCAUGCUGGAGGUAUCAGAAGUGCGAAUGCUGACAUAAGUAACGAUAAAGCGGGUGAAAAGCCCGCUCGCCGGAAGACCAAGGGUUCCUGUCCAACGUUAAUCGGGGCAGGGUGAGUCGACCCCUAAGGCGAGGCCGAAAGGCGUAGUCGAUGGGAAACGGGUUAAUAUUCCCGUACUUGGUGUUACUGCGAAGGGGGGACGGAGAAGGCUAUGUUGGCCGGGCGACGGUUGUCCCGGUUUAAGCGUGUAGGUGUGUGUUCCAGGUAAAUCCGGUUCACUUUAACACUGAGGCGUGACGACGAGGCACUACGGUGCUGAAGCAACAAAUGCCCUGCUUCCAGGAAAAGCCUCUAAGCAUCAGGUAACACGAAAUCGUACCCCAAACCGACACAGGUGGUCAGGUAGAGAAUACCAAGGCGCUUGAGAGAACUCGGGUGAAGGAACUAGGCAAAAUGGUGCCGUAACUUCGGGAGAAGGCACGCUGACACGUAGGUGAAGUGAUUUACUCAUGGAGCUGAAGUCAGUCGAAGAUACCAGCUGGCUGCAACUGUUUAUUAAAAACACAGCACUGUGCAAACACGAAAGUGGACGUAUACGGUGUGACGCCUGCCCGGUGCCGGAAGGUUAAUUGAUGGGGUCAGCGCAAGCGAAGCUCCUGAUCGAAGCCCCGGUAAACGGCGGCCGUAACUAUAACGGUCCUAAGGUAGCGAAAUUCCUUGUCGGGUAAGUUCCGACCUGCACGAAUGGCGUAAUGAUGGCC